GAGACAGCAGCCGCCGCGGUAAUACGAAGGGUGCAAGCGUUAAUCGGAAUUACUGGGCGUAAAGCGUGCGUAGGCGGUUUGUUAAGUCUGUUGUGAAAUCCCCGGGCUCAACCUGGGAAUGGCAAUGGAUACUGGCAAGCUAGAGUGUGUCAGAGGAUGGUGGAAUUCCCGGUGUAGCGGUGAAAUGCGUAGAGAUCGGGAGGAACAUCAGUGGCGAAGGCGGCCAUCUGGGACAACACUGACGCUGAGGCACGAAAGCGUGGGGAGCAAACAGGAUUAGAGACCCGUGUAGUCCCUGUCUCUUAUAC
This 308-nucleotide ribosomal RNA is filed under the name uncultured bacterium. Its description in RNAcentral is "partial 16S ribosomal RNA". It matches the Rfam family "Bacterial small subunit ribosomal RNA", at positions 505 to 807 of the family's 1533-position model. The record is from RNAcentral.